CACACAAAUAUACAAAGCCACAUUCCUGAUUUCUGAUUUGUGUCAUCAGCUCCCACAAGACUCCAUUCAUCCAAAGAAAGCAGAAGCAGAAAAUGUCAUCGUAUCAGAAGACAAAGCAAGAAUAUGAAAGGAUAAAGGAGGAACGAGCACGAAAAAGAGAGGAAUUCUUGAAAAACAAAGCUCAGCGAGAGGAGGCUCUGAAGAAAUACAAGGAAAAGAAAACAGCAACAUAUCAGUUGUUGAAAAGAAAAAC
Long non-coding RNA from Cyprinus carpio (common carp), 253 nucleotides. RefSeq lists it as uncharacterized. The transcript has 2 exons. The record is from RefSeq and is a predicted model, not a curated record. NCBI's taxonomy places the organism in Eukaryota, Metazoa, Chordata, Actinopteri, Cypriniformes, Cyprinidae.